Long non-coding RNA from Thunnus maccoyii (southern bluefin tuna), 333 nucleotides. RefSeq lists it as uncharacterized. The record is from RefSeq and is a predicted model, not a curated record. The transcript has 3 exons. Lineage: Eukaryota; Metazoa; Chordata; Actinopteri; Scombriformes; Scombridae.
AGAUACUAAGUCAUUAUUAUGAGAUAGUUUCUCAUUAUAAUGACUUACAGGAUUUUUUUUUUCAUCACAGUGGCAGAAAUGGGCUUCUAUAAAUACCCUUAUUGGUCAGGUGUUUAUUUUACAGCUUAGCAUCACUCACUGCUCAAUGCUCCACCAUAACUUCCGGCUGGUCUAUCGGCAUAAACAGGCCACAGGGUGCCUGCAUCCCCAACAGCUGUGCCAUAUGCAAAGAAGUGCCACACACAGCUGACAAGAAGAAAAGCAGUGCUGGGGCAGAUCUUGGCUUUUCAGCUGACAUAAGCAACUCAGAGUUAUCUGACUCAUCAGAGACAU